GAAACUUAGGAUUACUUAAACCGAAG
This 26-nucleotide transfer RNA is filed under the name Vireo olivaceus (red-eyed vireo). RNAcentral describes it as "partial tRNA-Trp". The record is from RNAcentral. RNAcentral also lists the same sequence under 14 other names. Lineage: Eukaryota; Metazoa; Chordata; Aves; Passeriformes; Vireonidae.